AAUCAACGCUGGCGGCGUGCCUCAGACAUGCAAGUCGAACGCGAAAGUUCCCUUCGGGGGCGAGUAGAGUGGCGCACGGGUGAGUAACACGUAGGUAAUCUACCUUUGGGUGGGGAAUAACAGCCGGAAACGGCUGCUAAUACCGCAUAAUGCAGCGGCUCGACAUCGAGACAGUUGUUAAAGCGGGGGAUCGCAAGACCUCGCGCCUAAAGAGGAGCCUGCGGCGGAUUAGCUUGUUGGUGAGGUAAUGGCUCACCAAGGCAUCGAUCCGUAGCCGGCCUGAGAGGGCGGUCGGCCACACUGACACUGACAUACGGUCAGACUCCUACGGGAGGCAGCAGUCGGGAAUUUUGGGCAAUGGGCGCAAGCCUGA
This 373-nucleotide ribosomal RNA is filed under the name uncultured bacterium. RNAcentral's name for it is "bacterial SSU rRNA". It matches the Rfam family "Bacterial small subunit ribosomal RNA", at positions 32 to 386 of the family's 1533-position model. The record is from RNAcentral.